GAUGAACGCUGGCGGCGUGCCUAAUACAUGCAAGUCGAGCGAACAGAUGAGGAGCUUGCUCCUCUGACGUUAGCGGCGGACGGGUGAGUAACACGUGGAUAACCUACCUAUAAGACUGGGAUAACUUCGGGAAACCGGAGCUAAUACCGGAUAAUAUAUUGAACCGCAUGGUUCAAUAGUGAAAGACGGUUUUGCUGUCACUUAUAGAUGGAUCCGCGCCGCAUUAGCUAGUUGGUAAGGUAACGGCUUACCAAGGCAACGAUGCGUAGCCGACCUGAGAGGGUGAUCGGCCACACUGGAACUGAGACACGGUCCAGACGCCUACGGGAGGCAGCAGUAGGGAAUCUUCCGCAAUGGGCGAAAGCCUGACGGAGCAACGCCGCGUGAGUGAUGAAGGUCUUCGGAGCGUAAAACUCUGUUAUUAGGGAAGAACAAAUGUGUAAGUAACUAUGCACGUCUUGACGGUACCUAAUCAGAAAGCCACGGCUAACUACGUG
Molecule: ribosomal RNA, 497 nt
Filed under: uncultured bacterium
Lineage: Bacteria
Description: partial 16S ribosomal RNA
Rfam family: Bacterial small subunit ribosomal RNA
Source: RNAcentral